UGAGGAAUCUGUCCAUCGGCGGGGGAUAGCCGGCCCAACGGCCGGGUAAUACCGCGUACGUCGGCGGGAGCGCAUGCUCCUGCCGGGAAAGCAGCAAUGCACCGAUGGAGGAUCUCGCGGCCUAUCAGCUUGUUGGUGAGGUCACGGCUCACCAAGGCGACGACGGGUAGCUGGUCUGAGAGGAUGAUCAGCCACACUGGGACUGAGGCACCGGCA
This 216-nucleotide ribosomal RNA is filed under the name uncultured bacterium. RNAcentral's name for it is "partial 16S ribosomal RNA". It matches the Rfam family "Bacterial small subunit ribosomal RNA", at positions 118 to 332 of the family's 1533-position model. The record is from RNAcentral.